UACGGAGGGGGCUAGCGUUGUUCGGAAUUACUGGGCGUAAAGCGCGCGUAGGCGGCUUAGCAAGUCAGGGGUGAAAUCCCGGGGCUCAACCCCGGAACUGCCCUUGAAACUGCUUCGCUAGAAUACUGGAGAGGUGAGUGGAAUUCCGAGUGUAGAGGUGAAAUUCGUAGAUAUUCGGAAGAACACCAGUGGCGAAGGAGACUCAAGGGACAGUUAUUGACGAUGAGGUGCGAAAGCGUGGGGAGCAAACAGG
This 253-nucleotide ribosomal RNA is filed under the name uncultured bacterium. RNAcentral describes it as "partial 16S ribosomal RNA". It matches the Rfam family "Bacterial small subunit ribosomal RNA", at positions 524 to 776 of the family's 1533-position model. The record is from RNAcentral.